Ctenopharyngodon idella (grass carp) is the source of this 4366-nucleotide long non-coding RNA. RefSeq lists it as uncharacterized. The record is from RefSeq and is a predicted model, not a curated record. The transcript is spliced from 2 exons. NCBI's taxonomy places the organism in Eukaryota, Metazoa, Chordata, Actinopteri, Cypriniformes, Xenocyprididae.
AGAAUACGAAAGAGAAAAUAUGUCAUAGCUGUGUAAGAUUAACACAGUUUUCCUCUAGUGCUUUUAUCUAAAAUUGGCAUGUGCUUCUAAAAACUACCUUCGCUCUGUCUGUCUCAGGCAUCAUGAUUCAAGUGCAUGACGCAGCCUGGCACAGGCCUCAGGGUGCCAGCUGAUAACAGAGAUACCCAUCCUGCCAACAGCAUAAAACCAGUCUGGCUGUCUGCCUAACUGAAAUGUUGGCACUUUUAAGGGCUCUCUCUCUAAAUAUCUGUUCUUAUGCCUUAUCAAACACUGUCACCUUGUAAUGUUUUCUGCAGCACUGUUUUCACAUUAACACUCAGUUCUCUGAUUACAGACUAUGGCAGCACUUCAUCCAAAAAUGAAAAUUCUGUCAUUAAUUACUCACCUUCAUGUCGUUCCAAACCUGUAAGACUUUUGUUUAUCUUCGGAGCACAAAUGAAGAUCUUUUUGAUGAAAUCUGAGAGAUUUCUGUCCCUCAAUAGACAGCUACAUAACUACCACUUUGGCGCUUCAAAAAGUUCAUGAAGAGAUUGUAAAACUAAUCCAUAUGUAUUGAGCGGUUUAGUCCAAAUUUUCUGAAGAGACUCGAUCGCUUUAUAUAAUGAACAGAUUUAAUUUAGGCUUAUAUUAACAUAUAAACAUUCAUCAACUCGCACAUUAGUUGUGGUAAAUGGAAGCUCAAGCAUGAGAUCAGGGGAGUGAGAUUUACACGCUCUUACCAGGCUACGUUCGUUACACUCACCCCCCUAAACCUCACUCCCAUCCAAGUCGAAUGUAACCCCUCCGGUUCGAACCGCCCGCUCUAAGUGGGCUUGAACCCGGGUCAGCUGGCAUGGGAAUCGGGCCCUCUAACAAGGAGGCUAAAGACCGCAGUCUCUAGCAUAAGUUGCUAGAAUGCCUCUUGAGGUCAGGGGAGUGAGGUUUACACGCAAACCUCUACCAGCCUACAUCUGUUAGAUGUGCGAGAACCAGUGAGGUUCAUUCUCAUGUUACACAGCAUGUUUGAGCUUCUGCAACCAAUAAGGUUCGUUCUUGUGUUACGCAGUGCGUUUAAGCUUCCACAAGAGGUUUGUUCUCGCAUGUCAAGCAGGUUUGGUUGAGCUUCUGUUUAUGUUCGCUGAUCAAUGUUUAUAUGUGAAUAAAAGCCUAAAUUCACUCUGUUCAUAUAAAGUGAUCGAGUCUCUUCAGAAAAUUUGGACUAAACCGCUCAAUUCAUAUGGAUUAGUUUUACAAUCUCUUUAUGAACUUUUUGAAGCAUCAAAGUGGUAGUUAUGUAGCUGUCUAUCGAGGGAGAGAAAUCUCUCAGAUUUCAUCAAAAAGAUCUUCAUUUCUGUUCCGAAGAUAAAUGAAAGUCUUACGGGUUUGGAACGACAUGAGGGUGAGUAAUUAAUGACAGAAUUUUUAUUUUUGGGUGAACUAACCCUUUAAGACAGUCAGCUGGAAUAAAACAAAUUUUGUUCUGAUAUGGAAUCAAGCUAAUAUAUAAUUUUGUUUAGUCUGAUCUAUCAGUUCAAUUUCAUCAAAUCUAUCUAUAUUUUAGUGUCAGAACCAAUUAAUCAUCUGAUAUUUUAUUCUUGAAUAAAUAUUGAAAUGAAAAUACUGUAAAAUUUGAAGAUAGAUAUGUUUCACUUUCCACUAGACAGAAGGGAGGCAGUUCACAAACAAGCACAUGAUGUGAAAACAAGUCUGUAAAUAGCAGCUUGGCUGAGAACAUUUGACAUCCCAGAGGGCUUGAGUUACAGCACUAGCUUUUAGAGAUGGUAAUAACAGACAUUUGUGUCCCCAUGACAUACUAGGAGAUCUCUGGAUCUGAUAUCUCAUCUGAAGCCAGGCCGCACACUGUCAGCGAAAAUCUCUCACUAUGAUUAAAAGCCUUUCAGAAAAUUCCCAAUUUCAAAACAGUCCUGUUUACAACAAGCUAGACAGAGGAAUAUGAGCUCACGUAUUGGUGAUAAACUGAUCUGGGAACAGAACAUUGAUAUUUUAUGGCUUUAUCAGCUGACAGCAAUCCAUGACACGGUUACAGCACGCUGGCACAAAUGAAAUGGCUGUUCGAAGCUAGGGUGCUUUGUUUUCAAGUCUCAUUGAGCCAGAUUACCCAGCAGGCAAAUGAAAGGAGGGCGUAGUGGUUUCCUUGCUCUGGCAACCGAACAUGUAACCCAGGUGACAUAAUCUGCAUGGUGACCACAUGAAAACAGGUGAAGCUGUUACUUUCUUUUUCGGUGACAGUACAGACUAUAAAGAAUUAGUAUGACAGAUUUUCCAAGACACUUUUGAGACGCUCUUGUUUUGUUUAUUCUCCUCUCCUGGUCUCUGUAUAGAGUGCUGGGUAUCUACGAGUGAAAUGUCAGCUUGUUUUGAAAGCCGACACUUUCACCCUCUGACAUUCAAGCACCUUCCUCCCCUCCACCGUCUCUGAUUAUACGCUCUGGAUCAAAACAGUUUCAGACCAACUAAAAAAAAGAAAGAAACUGAAACUGUGGGUCUUUCUCGGAUUCAUUUAACAUACAGAGAACUCGAUGUUUAAGCGUUCUUUGCAUGUCCUUGCGUUGUCAUUUUCCAGGUAAAAAUUGUAUGUUUUCGUUCACUUGGAAAAGAAAUAGGACACUUUCCACAAAAAGAUGCAAAAUUUAAAGUCUCCAUGAAAUCAAAAUUGACAGUUCUUAUUUAUUUUAUUGAAUAUUGCAGUAUUUAUUAUAAAUUAUUUAUCCGUGCCCAUUAUUUUUUUAAUUCAUGUGCCUCAUAAUCUUUAAUCAAAAUAACUUGCAGCAACAUCUCUUCUCUGGUGACGCGUUUACUGGCGCGAGGGCGGGGCAACCUGUCACUCACAUGAGACUGACCAAUAGCAAACCACAACCAUCCAAUGAUCCAAUUAAUUCCCAAUGGUCAAAAUUAAGUCCCACCCUAUAUUUUUUCUUGUUCCAGAAGCCGCUUCACUUGGAUAUAUUUCACAAUAGGGAAGAAAAAACUAGCGCAACUUCCAUUUCAUUCAUGACUGUAGUUUUUUUUUAAAUCGCAGUUAUAAACAAUAGUAAUAUAAGGAUAACGUUGGAUUCAUAAAGUCCAAAAGCAGAAUCUAUUCCCAAAACAAUCCAAAGAUCCUUUUUGUUACUGACAAAGUAGUUCACAUAAUUCCACAAAAAGCUUUCCCAAGAAAACAGCUGGCUGCUGGCAUUAUCACUGAAGAUCAUUUCUGACUCCAGCUGACCUCCAGGACCAGCACAGGGUGAUAGUCUGGAUCUGUUUAAAGACCGGGAUUCAGGUUAAUCUUUAGUGCGGUAAUUACUGGCUCCGCUGAGUGUUUGGAGAACGACCAGGAAACAGUCAAAACCAAAACAGGAUACUGCGAGUCUUCCAGGAAAACAGUUAUCAUUUGGCUACAGAGGGGCACGAAAGGUGACGUCCGACCUUCAACUCACAGUGAACGUAUUUUGGACCAAUCCCUAACCAGGAGAGAUAUGGCAGGUUUGUGUUUUUCACAUAUCAGAUUACAAAGCCUCCGCAAGUAAGUGGCCUUCCUUGACAACAAGUCUGACAUGUUUCUGUUUUACCAGAGGCUAAAUUCUUCUGUAAAGUGUUUCUCUUUUUAACGUUGAUGGUUUGGAUGGAGUUCAACUAAAAUAACCAAAACACAAACAGAUUGUGAGGUUGAAAAACAGGACGUCGCAUGAAAUACCUCUACAGGACUUUUGGAAUGGGGUGGACAGGACUUAUGUUAUGCAAGAGCUGAUAAUGGAAACAACCCUGGGCCAAAAGAUUAAAGGAUUAGAAACCGGACACCAGGCGAUGUGAUCGUUACACUGCGGUGGGUGAAGAUCAGUCUCUGAAGUGUAUGACCUCCAGAGAGGACCCACAACACACUCAAUAUCUGAACUCUGCAAGGAGCUGUGUUUGAAUUUUCAGUAGUAAUGGAACCUUAAUAGGCUUCUAAAUCAGAAUGGCUGCAGUUUUCAUCUGGUUUUGCCACAGAUCCAGAUGAUUUUAUCCUAUAUCAUAACUAUGCAUAUGGUUAGUUGCAUUUGAAUUUAGCAUUGCUUCCAUGCUAUCAGAAGAGAUUUCUGUGGAGAUUGCAACCGACCAGUUGAGAACCACUGCAGUAGGGGAACUAGCUUUCUUCAUGUGGAUUCUCAUUAUGAGAACAGAAACCACAGAAAUUAUAGGCAACAUUUGCAGUCUACUUAUUUAGGGUUUAGUAUUGGAUUUCAGUUCAUUUGUCCUUGUUGGCAUGAUAACAUCCAUCAUGUGUUUGGUGGUUACAGUGUCUUGUGAGCUAAGUGUGGUGCUAGCAACCACCUGAUUUGAUGGCUGCCUUUUUGAAAACAAUAAACAAGUUGGACAACCUAAA